GGCAAGCUGAAACGCCAGUGAAAGAAAGCCUCCCUCAGCAUCCUAUUACCUUAGUGCGUCGUAAAUAGAAACUAGUGAGCAGACAGAGAAAUGGCGACUGAAGGAGGUACUCCAGGUGGUUUGGCCCCAGCAGAACCCCAAACAGGACCAGAUGGAGAAAUUAUCGGAGGACCACGUACUCCACAGCAGAUCGCUGCUCAGCGAAGAUUGCAACAGACUCAGGCGCAAGUCGAUGAAGUCGUGGAUAUUAUGAAAACAAAUGUCGAGAAAGUUCUAGACAGAGACGCAAAGUUGUCAGAAUUAGACGAUAGAGCAGAUGCACUUCAACAGGGUGCUUCACAGUUCGAGCAACAGGCAAAAAGCUUGAAAAAUAAAUUUUGGUUGCAAAAUUUAAAGAUGAUGAUUAUAAUGGGCGUGAUUGGGAUCGUUAUCAUUGGCCUGUUAUUCGGUGAUAACAUUAAACAAAUGUUUGGUUAGUUCGAUACCGUGGCACACCGACUAUGACCGGCAUCAGUCCAGGCGUAGCCGGCAAUGUUACCGCAGCUGUUACUAAUAAUUGAAAAUACAUGUAAUCCUAAUUCGCAAGAUCUAAACUUCGUGGAAGAUGUGUUAACAAUAAUUUUUGUAAGCAUUUAAAUUAGAAAUUUAGCGUAGAAAUGGUCACAUGAAAGGGCAGUUGCGUAAAAUACAAACUUUAUUGUUUGUUUUACUUGAAAGUAAAAUAAUCUUAUAGAAAAUAAAUUAAGAUUACGAACUCUAAUUACAACGUUCAAUGAAAUAGUUAAACUAUUAAAAAAUAUUUAAAUAUAUUAUUCAAUAAGAUUUCAUAUGAAAGUCUUUGAAUAUAGGUAACGUUUACUAUACGUAUGUUCAAUUUCAAGAUUACUAAUAUUGUGAAAAUUGUAUAAAAUUUAAUA
Molecule: RNA transcript, 917 nt
Organism: Vanessa atalanta (red admiral)
Lineage: Eukaryota; Metazoa; Arthropoda; Insecta; Lepidoptera; Nymphalidae
Gene name: vesicle-associated membrane protein 2-like
Exons: 7
Source: RefSeq, a predicted model, not a curated record